RNAcentral lists this ribosomal RNA (833 nucleotides) under uncultured Stenotrophomonas sp. RNAcentral describes it as "bacterial SSU rRNA". It matches the Rfam family "Bacterial small subunit ribosomal RNA", at positions 48 to 869 of the family's 1533-position model. Lineage: Bacteria; Pseudomonadati; Pseudomonadota; Gammaproteobacteria; Lysobacterales; Lysobacteraceae. The record is from RNAcentral.
CUAACACAUGCAAGUCGAACGGCAGCACAGGAGAGCUUGCUCUCUGGGUGGCGAGUGGCGGACGGGUGAGGAAUACAUCGGAAUCUACUUUUUCGUGGGGGAUAACGUAGGGAAACUUACGCUAAUACCGCAUACGACCUACGGGUGAAAGCAGGGGAUCUUCGGACCUUGCGCGAUUGAAUAAGCCGAUGUCGGAUUAGCUAGUUGGCGGGGUAAAGGCCCACCAAGGCGACGAUCCGUAGCUGGUCUGAGAGGAUGAUCAACCACACUGGAACUGAGACACGGUCCAGACUCCUACGGGAGGCAGCAGUGGGGAAUAUUGGACAAUGGGCGCAAGCCUGAUCCAGCCAUACCGCGUGGGUGAAGAAGGCCUUCGGGUUGUAAAGCCCUUUUGUUGGGAAAGAAAUCCAGCUGGCUAAUACCCGGUUGGGAUGACGGUACCCAAAGAAUAAGCACCGGCUAACUUCGUGCCAGCAGCCGCGGUAAUACGAAGGGUGCAAGCGUUACUCGGAAUUACUGGGCGCAAAGCGUGCGUAGGUGGUCGUUUAAGUCCGUUGUGAAAGCCCUGGGCUCAACCUGGGAACUGCAGUGGAUACUGGACGACUAGAGUGUGGUAGAGGGUAGCGGAAUUCCUGGUGUAGCAGUGAAAUGCGUAGAGAUCAGGAGGAACAUCCAUGGCGAAGGCAGCUACCUGGACCAACACUGACACUGAGGCACGAAAGCGUGGGGAGCAAACAGGAUUAGAUACCCUGGUAGUCCACGCCCUAAACGAUGCGAACUGGAUGUUGGGUGCAAUUUGGCACGCAGUAUCGAAGCUAACGCGUUAAGUUCGC